Molecule: long non-coding RNA, 756 nt
Filed under: Dicentrarchus labrax (European seabass)
Lineage: Eukaryota; Metazoa; Chordata; Actinopteri; Moronidae
Description: lncRNA (ENSDLAG00005026237.2)
Source: RNAcentral
AUGUUUUUAAGGAUCGUUUUACUUCUUCUUCUCGUGACUGGAACAUUAACACAGGACUUAGGUUUUGACCUGGGAGAUGCUAUCGAUGAUAUAGCUCCAACACCUGCAAAGCCCAAAGAGCAACCGAAGGCCCCAGAUAAUGAUGGUGGCUUUAACUUUGAUUUAGGAGAUGCUCUCGGCCCAGAACCCACCCCCAAAACUGACAAACCAGCUGUUAAACCACCAAAGAGUGGAGGAGGUGGCUUUGGACUGGAUUUGGAGGAUGCCGUCGGCCCAGACCCCAGCGCCAAACCUGAAAAACCACCUGUUAAACCACCAAAGAGUGGAGGAGGUGGCUUUGAUUUUGACUUGGAGGAUGCUCUCGGCCCAGACCCCAACCCCAAACCUGACAAACCAGCUGUUAACCCACCAAAGAGUGGAGGAGGUGGCGGAACUUUUGAUGACUCAGACUUGUUUGACAUUAAUGACGGGAGCUACAAGCCUGAUGGAGGCCGCUCAGGAGGAGGAGGAGGAGGAGGAAAGGAGGUCGUGCGGGGGACCCUGGCUCCGAUCCUCAGGGUGGUGCUGAUCAGCCUCAAGGUAAAUCUAAUCUUUAUGUACUUCCUGUCUUUGUCUCCAUGCUCCGUCAAUGUCACUGUGGAUGUCGCUAUGUCUUCCCGCAGAACUGAUCUGCCCUUGAGCUUUUGUUGGGAGUUUUCCUGUGUUGCGCCUUUGAGGAAGUUGUGUUCGCUGAUUUAUUUACUGGUUUGUUGCUGA